UACGUAGGGUGCGAGCGUUAAUCGGAAUUACUGGGCGUAAAGCGUGCGCAGGCGGUGAUGUAAGACCGAUGUGAAAUCCCCGGGCUUAACCUGGGAACUGCAUUGGUGACUGCAUUGCUGGAGUAUGGCAGAGGGGGGUGGAAUUCCACGUGUAGCAGUGAAAUUCGUAGAGAUGUGGAGGAACACCGAUGGCGAAGGCAGCCCCCUGGGCCAAUACUGACGCUCAUGCACGAAAGCGUGGGGAGCAAACAGG
Molecule: ribosomal RNA, 253 nt
Filed under: uncultured bacterium
Lineage: Bacteria
Description: partial 16S ribosomal RNA
Rfam family: Bacterial small subunit ribosomal RNA
Source: RNAcentral